Molecule: non-coding RNA, 26 nt
Filed under: Rattus norvegicus (Norway rat)
Lineage: Eukaryota; Metazoa; Chordata; Mammalia; Rodentia; Muridae
Source: RNAcentral
CAGCGCGGUGACCUGGAGAACUGGAA